Molecule: ribosomal RNA, 341 nt
Filed under: uncultured Saccharomycetes
Lineage: Eukaryota; Fungi; Ascomycota; Saccharomycetes
Description: eukaryotic LSU rRNA
Rfam family: Eukaryotic large subunit ribosomal RNA
Source: RNAcentral
AAUGCAGCUCAAAUUGGGUGGUAAAUUCCAUCUAAAGCUAAAUAUUGGCGAGAGACCGAUAGCGAACAAGUACCGUGAGGGAAAGAUGAAAAGCACUUUGGAAAGAGAGUUAACAGUACGUGAAAUUGUUGGAAGGGAAACGCUUGAAGUCAGACUUGCUUGCCGAGCAAUCGGUUUGCAGGCCAGCAUCAGUUUUCCGGGAUGGAUAAUGGUAGAGAGAAGGUAGCAGUUUCGGCUGUGUUAUAGCUCUCUGCUGGAUACAUCUUGGGGACUGAGGAACGCAGUGUGCCUUUUGGCGGGGUUUCGACCUCUUCACACUUAGGAUGCUGGUGGAAUGGCUU